CAACUGAAUGGGUUUUAAUUACAUUAGGGAACUAUUCCACUUCUCAUCAUCUCUCUCGGUUUCUCUCUAUCGAAUCCAAACGACAUGGCCUUUCUCAGAUGAUGAUGAUGGACUGAAGUUGAAAGAUGCGUCAAACCUGGCUGAAUUAGGGGUUCUGGCGAAAUAUUCGAACAUUGAUAUUCCGGCCAGAAGCUAUGGUUUCGAUGGUGGGUUCCGGCGACAUGGGUAAGCCAUGUGGUCGAUCAAAGAAGAACGGUUUGUAACGGCGACACGGGUAAGCAUUUGUGUGAUUGAAGAGGGACACAAGAACAUGGGCAAACACUCAAAGUCCAUCAUUCUUGAAGGUGAUGCAGCUAAGAAGACUCAUUGGAAGAUGGUAAUUGAAGGAUUCUGCUUCUCCCUUCCAGAUUCAUCACUACAUCAAUGUUAUUCACCAGAUUCAACCUGUUAGCGAUUAAGGUAAUGGGAUUCAUCACUAAUUGGGGUCCAGAUUCAUCACUAAUUUCAGCUUUUUACUUAAAAAAAGGGUGUUUGGAUGUGUCUUUUUCAGGUCUGAUAACAGUGCCUAAACCUAACAUGAGGAUUGAUUGAUUGACUAUCUCGAUGGAAAAAUUCAAGCCGAUAAAUUCUACCAUUGAGGGUUCUAUGGAAAACGGAUCUACCGUUGAAGCUUGAUUUAGAGACUUUUGCAAGUUUUUUUCGAUCUGUUUUUGGUUUUUAGUUUGUUUUAUCUUUUAAGAUUAUUAAGUUAUGUGAUACGAAUUGAUUUGCGGUUAUUUAUUUAUAUAUAUAUAUAUAUAUAUUUUUUGUGAAAGUAAUGUUUUUUACGAUCAUCAGAUACAUUGUCCACUCACUUUUGUUAUGUGCCUGAUCAGGAUCAUUAUGGUAACAUGGUAACAAGAUGAUUGAACCCGGGGAGCUAGAGCUGAGGUGAGGUGGAGGUUGGGGGUUCGACUCCGGUCGGGCGUGUAUUUACCACCUUGGGUGGGCGGCUCUCAAUUACACUGCGAGUUGCCCUUAGCCGUAGUUCGCUACGGUCUCCUAGCGUAACUGGGUUGUCAUUCAAAACAAAAAAAACAAAAACAAGAUGAUUGAUCUUGCAGGUGAACAAAACUACCAGGUGGAUACCAAAUUUGGUUUUGCUAAUUUGAAGUUGAGAAGCGGCUGCAAAAGUAUGAGACGAAUGAGUUGGAAAAGCAUGAAGGGCAAUCUGUUUUCCGUCUGAUAUUGUAUCAGUUUAAUGAUACUUUCAUUAGAAUU
This is a long non-coding RNA of Helianthus annuus (common sunflower), 1260 nucleotides long. RefSeq lists it as uncharacterized. The record is from RefSeq and is a predicted model, not a curated record. The transcript has 2 exons. Lineage: Eukaryota; Viridiplantae; Streptophyta; Magnoliopsida; Asterales; Asteraceae.